AUUCCUACGGGAGGCAGCAGUGAGGAAUAUUGGUCAAUGGGCGCAAGCCUGAACCAGCCAUGCCGCGUGCAGGAUGAAGCAUCUAUGGUGUGUAAACUGCUUUUAUACAGGAAGAAACACUCGGACGUGUCCGAGCUUGACGGUACUGUAGGAAUAAGGAUCGGCUAACUCCGUGCCAGCAGCCGCG
This 187-nucleotide ribosomal RNA is filed under the name uncultured bacterium. RNAcentral's name for it is "partial 16S ribosomal RNA". It matches the Rfam family "Bacterial small subunit ribosomal RNA", at positions 335 to 519 of the family's 1533-position model. The record is from RNAcentral.